AGAGUUUGAUCAUGGCUCAGGAUGAACGCUAGCGAGCAGGCCUAACACAUGCAAGUCGAGGGGUAGAGUUCUUCUGGGACUUGAGACCGGCGCACGGGUGCGUAACGCGUAUGCAAUCUACCUUAUACAGGGGAAUAGCCCAGAGAAAUUUGGAUUAAUGCCCCAUAGUGUUAUCGAAUCGCAUGGUUUGAUAACUAAAGUUCCAACGGUAUAAGAUGAGCAUGCGUCCCAUUAGUUAGUUGGUAAGGUAACGGCUUACCAAGACAAUGAUGGGUAGGGGUCCUGAGAGGGAGAUCCCCCACACUGGUACUGAGACACGGACCAGACUCCUACGGGAGGCAGCAGUGAGGAAUAUUGGUCAAUGGGCGCAAGCCUGAACCAGCCAUGCCGCGUGCAGGAAGACGGUCCUAUGGAUUGUAAACUGCUUUUAUACAGGAAGAAACCCUCCCACGUGUGGGAGCUUGACGGUACUGUAGGAAUAAGGAUCGGCUAACUCCGUGCCAGCAGCCGCGGUAAUACGGAGGAUCCAAGCGUUAUCCGGAAUCAUUGGGUUUAAAGGGUCCGUACGCGGCCUUAUAAGUCAGUGGUGAAAUCUCCUAGCUCAUCUAGGACACUGCCAUUGAUACUGUAACGCUUGAAUUUUUGUGAGUAACUAGAAAUAUGUAGUGUAGCGUGAAUGCUUAGAUAUCACAUGAAUACC
Molecule: ribosomal RNA, 700 nt
Filed under: uncultured bacterium
Lineage: Bacteria
Description: bacterial SSU rRNA
Rfam family: Bacterial small subunit ribosomal RNA
Source: RNAcentral